This 450-nucleotide ribosomal RNA is filed under the name uncultured bacterium. Its description in RNAcentral is "bacterial SSU rRNA". It matches the Rfam family "Bacterial small subunit ribosomal RNA", at positions 354 to 796 of the family's 1533-position model. The record is from RNAcentral.
GUGGGGAAUCUUGCACAAUGCGCGAAAGCGUGAUGCAGCAACGCCGCGUGCGGGAAGAAGGCCUUAGGGUUGUAAACCGCUUUCAGUUGGGACGAAGCUUCAGUCGUUAAUAGCGGUUUGGAGUGACGGUACCUUCAGAAGAAGCGCCGGCUAACUACGUGCCAGCAGCCGCGGUAAUACGUAGGGCGCGAGCGUUGUCCGGAAUCAUUGGGCGUAAAGCGCGUGUAGGCGGCUGAGUAAGUCUGCUGUGAAAGUCCAGGGCUCAACCCUGGAAUGUCGGCGGAUACUGCUCAGCUGGAGUACGGGAGGGGCGAGUGGAAUUCCUGGUGUAGCGGUGGAAUGCGCAGAUAUCAGGAGGAACACCUAUGGCGAAGGCAGCUCGCUGGAACGUUACUGACGCUGAGACGCGAAAGCGUGGGGAGCAAACAGGAUUAGAAACCCUUGUAGUCC